Molecule: ribosomal RNA, 594 nt
Filed under: uncultured Bacteroidota bacterium
Lineage: Bacteria; Pseudomonadati; Bacteroidota
Description: bacterial SSU rRNA
Rfam family: Bacterial small subunit ribosomal RNA
Source: RNAcentral
CAACCUGCCGCUUACUCGGGGAUAGCCUUUCGAAAGAAAGAUUAAUACCCGAUGGUAUAAAGAGUUCGCAUGUUCUCUUUAUUAAAGAAUUUCGGUAAGCGAUGGGGAUGCGUUCCAUUAGAUUGUUGGCGGGGUAACGGCCCACCAAGUCUACGAUGGAUAGGGGUUCUGAGAGGAAGGUCCCCCACAUUGGAACUGAGACACGGUCCAAACUCCUACGGGAGGCAGCAGUGAGGAAUAUUGGUCAAUGGACGAGAGUCUGAACCAGCCAAGUAGCGUGAAGGAUGACUGCCCUAUGGGUUGUAAACUUCUUUUAUAAAGGAAUAAAGUCGGGUAUGGAUACCCGUUUGCAUGUACUUUAUGAAUAAGGAUCGGCUUACUCCGUGCCAGCAGCCGCGGUAAUACGGAGGAUCCGAGCGUUAUCCGGAUUUAUUGGGUUUAAAGGGAGCGUAGAUGGAUGUUUAAGUCAGUUGUGAAAGUUUGCGGCUCAACCGUAAAAUUGCAGUUGAUACUGGAUAUCUUGAGUGCAGUUGAGGCAGGCGGAAUUCGUGGUGUAGCGGUGAAAUGCUUAGAUAUCACGAAGAACUCCGAUUG